Molecule: long non-coding RNA, 976 nt
Filed under: Trifolium pratense (red clover)
Lineage: Eukaryota; Viridiplantae; Streptophyta; Magnoliopsida; Fabales; Fabaceae
Description: long non-coding RNA (TPRA_LNC000548)
Source: RNAcentral
UUGUCUUUUCUUGAAUCAUGACUGAAAACUUUCUUCACUGCAGAAAACCAACUCCCUUUUUUCCCCAUUUGUAAUUCCUGUUAAUUUAAAGGUAAAAAAAACUUAGAUCUUAAUAUAAAAUAUAAAACCAGAUAUCAAUCCAUAAAGAGAAAAUUAAGAAGAGAUAUAUAAGAUGAACAAACUUCAGUUAAAAGUAAUUAAAUUAACCUUAACACAUUUAAAAACCUCAUAUUUCAACAAAUGAAAUCUUAUACUAAAAGCAAACCGUUGAGAAAUAAAAAAAUAAAAAAUAAAAAUAAUGUAUAGAAAAAUUAUAAAAAAGAAACUGCAACAAAAAUUCCAAGAAAGGGUCAAAACAGAAACCAUAAACACUAGAAACAGAUCUAUGAUCAAAUGUUUACUGAAAAAUCAGUAACAACCUUUUAAUUAUUAAUGAAAAGAACUAGAAACUGAAACUAAAAUCAUAAACACCACAAAAAGGUUUGAUUUUUCAGAAAAUAUACUAAUGAAGUGAAGAAAAAUAAAAACCAAAGUCAAAAUCUCCAAUCUUAGAAGCCUUGUUAUAGCAAGAAAUUACUAAUUUUUUUUAAGAUAUUUUCUAAGAUAGUUUUAAAACCCAUAUAUAAUCAAAUUUUCUUAAUUAACAUCACAAAAUAAAAAUGCAAAUUUAGUAUGCAAUUGCAAUGUUCAAUGAAGAAAUGUAGAAGAACCCAGAUAGUAAAAUCCAAAAAAGUAUACAUUUUUAUUUUUUUGAAAAUGUGAAAUACAAUACAAAACACAAACUUGAAAAAUACUAAAAAAAAUAAGAAAAAUGAAUUAAUGUUAAACAUUGCAAAUGCAAAAAAAAAAAAUACCUUUGCUGCAUGAGAAAUGCUAAGAUUAGAUCUCUGAAAAUAAAAAUCAAAGGUAAGUGACUUACUUACUUGUUAUGACAAAAACAGAUGGAGCCCACAAAGUGCAAUGAAAUGAAAGAGAG